AGUGAACGCUGGCGGUAUGCCUAACACAUGCAAGUCGAACGGCAGCACAGUAAGAGCUUGCUCUUACGGGUGGCGAGUGGCGGACGUGAGAGGUAUACAUCGGAAUCUUCUUUUUCGUGGAGGAUAACGUAGGUAAACUUACGCUAAUAUCGCAUACGACCUACGGUUGAAAGCAGGGGAUCGUCUGACCUUUCGCGAUUGAAUUAGCCGAUGUCGGCUUAGCUCGUUGGCAGGGUAAAGGCCCACCAAGGCGACGAUCCGUAGCUGGUCUGAGAGGAUGAACAGCCACAAUGGAAGAGAGACACGGUCCAGAGGCCUAGGGGCGGAAGCAGUGGGGAAUAUUGAACAAUGGGCGCAAGUCUGAUCCAGCCAUGCGGCGGGGGUGAAGACGACCUUCGGGUUGUACAGCCCUCUUGUUGAGAAAGAAAAGCAGCAGGUUAAUCUCCAGCUGUUCUGACGGUACCCAAAGAAUAAGCACGGGCGAACUUCGUG
This 492-nucleotide ribosomal RNA is filed under the name uncultured bacterium. Its description in RNAcentral is "partial 16S ribosomal RNA". It matches the Rfam family "Bacterial small subunit ribosomal RNA", at positions 29 to 507 of the family's 1533-position model. The record is from RNAcentral.